Molecule: long non-coding RNA, 1983 nt
Organism: Antechinus flavipes (yellow-footed antechinus)
Lineage: Eukaryota; Metazoa; Chordata; Mammalia; Dasyuromorphia; Dasyuridae
Exons: 3
Source: RefSeq, a predicted model, not a curated record
CUAGGAUCCGGGGGGCUGAGGAUGGGCCGCUUGCCCCCCCACUACCGCCCCUGCCAGGCCCGCCGCCCCACGGGGGCCGCUCCCGGGCCGGAGCGUGGGGGCUGGCCCUGGGCCGGGACUCCCCGGUGCCAAUCUCAGGCCGGGAUGAGCCCGCUCCCCUUCUUAUAGAUGGGUAGGGGGCGUCCCGGAGGCUCAAUGGGGGGUCCCGGAGCGCCAGGGGGCCCGCGGUCACAGGGGUCCCGCCGGUCAGAGGCCUAAGCGGCGCCUCCCCCUCCCCUCCCCCACGCACUUUCACCUCCCCCCCAGGCCCGGUUCCCCCGCCCGCAGCCCUCGCUCCCCUCCCUCGGCGGAGACCCGUGUGUGAGGAGCGGGGGUCCCAGGACCCCCCAACCCAUAGGCGGCCGCUGCCCCAGCCCCCGGCUCCCUUACCCCGGCUUUCCCGGCCCCGGGCCUGCGGCAGCCCGGCGCCUCCCCGGCCUCACGUGAGCACGUCAGGCGCCCGCCCUGCCUCCCCGGCCCGGCCCGGCGCCCUACGGGAGCCCGGGGAUGGGGGCCGGGCCUGGGGCCGCCUCCGCUUACCUUGGAGCUGCUUUUUUUCCCCUCCUCUUCCCCCCUUUCCCUUCGGCUGGGGCUGACAGACGAGAAGCGCGGAGAGAGGCGCUGGCCGAGGGCGAGGAGCCGCCGCCGCCGCCGCCGCCGCUCCCCCCCGGGCUCCCCGAGAGCCUCUCCCGCUCAGGCCGGGGCGCCGAGCAUCAUCUUUUUAUUGGGGAAACUCCGGAGCGCUCCCGGGGUCGGUGAUUAUUGAGGGGAAAUCCCUGAAUCUAGGCUCCAGCCAAGAAGGCAGGGCUGCUGGGGCUGCACCACAAGAGGAGCCAGCAGCCUCCUACAGCACCACUACCGGCACUGAGAGGACAUAACACCAGACAGCCGCUCCUCGGCCCUGCGAAACGACAACUUUCCUACCAUCUUGGAGCUAGCGAGGGGGGCAGGGGUAGAGAGGGCACGGCGCCGCUGCCCGGGGACAGGACGGGGGCAGCAGCCCGCGACCCCCGAGCCCGAGGACGAGUGCCCGGCGGGGCGGGGGCGGCGGCCGCCUGCACGGCCUGUGGGGCCGCCGGGGCAAGGACUCUCUGCUCUCCUGCUCCAAAGACUUUUUUUUUUGUUGUUGUUGCAAGAAACAGGUGUUUCUCUCUCCCACCCCCUUUCUAUCCUGAUCCCCUCUUCAGGAAUGAUUUUAAUUUUUUUUAAGAACAGUAUCCUCAACCUGAUGUGUUCCCUGACCAUGAAGGGGAAGGGAGACUUGGACACUGAUAGUUUCAAAAUAGCAGGUUGCAUGAAGACUGAUGCAGGAAUUUAUUUCAGUGACCGUACUGAAAACGGCAGCUAGCACUGACAUAAGGUUUUCUGCUGGAAAAAGAAAUCAAGUAUUUACAUUUUUCCAGAGCUCCCACUGUUUGAGCUCUAUGGGACCCAGAGUGGCAAAUAUAGAAGUUUCCCUUUCAACUGCCCUGACAAUGAGAUUCAGUGAAACAGGUAAAACUCUAUUACAAUGGAUAUAUGAAAAGAAAGAUUUCUACGAGAAUAAAAUCAUUUCCAUGCCCCUGAGGAUGGCCUAUAGUAACAGAGCUAGGUUAACCUGAUUUGACCUUUCUUGGGACAGUCAUUUCAUAUUUAUCAUUCAUAAAAUGCUUAGAUGAUCUCUAAGAUCCUUUCUAGUUAACAAUAUUCUGUUCAAGGCUAAUUGUACACUAUUUCAAAAUCUGAUUCUUUUUGUACAGGAAAAUAAUUGUUUGGACAUGUAUACUUAUAUUGCAUUUAAUUUAUACUUUAACAUAUUUAACAUGUUGAUGUAUUGGUCAACCUGCCCUCUGGGAAAGGGGGUAGGGGGAAGGAGGGGAAAAAUUGGAACAAAAGGUUUGGCAAUUGUCAAUGCUGUAAAAUUACCCAUACAUAUAACUUGUAAAUAAAAAGCUAUAAUAAUAA